This 253-nucleotide ribosomal RNA is filed under the name uncultured bacterium. RNAcentral's name for it is "partial 16S ribosomal RNA". It matches the Rfam family "Bacterial small subunit ribosomal RNA", at positions 524 to 776 of the family's 1533-position model. The record is from RNAcentral.
UACGGAGGGUGCAAGCGUUAUCCGGAUUCACUGGGUUUAAAGGGUGCGUAGGCGGGUAAGUAAGUCCGUGGUGAAAUCUCUGAGCUUAACUCAGAAACUGCCGUGGAUACUAUUUGCCUUGAAUAUUGUGGAGGUGAGCGGAAUAUGUCAUGUAGCGGUGAAAUGCUUAGACAUGACAUAGAACACCAAUUGCGAAGGCAGCUCACUACACAAUCAUUGACGCUGAGGCACGAAAGCGUGGGGAUCAAACAGG